Molecule: ribosomal RNA, 468 nt
Filed under: uncultured bacterium
Lineage: Bacteria
Description: partial 16S ribosomal RNA
Rfam family: Bacterial small subunit ribosomal RNA
Source: RNAcentral
GACGAACGCUGGCGGCGUGCUUAACACAUGCAAGUCGAACGGAAAGGCCCUGCUUUUGUGGGGUGCUCGAUUGGCGAACGGGUGAGUAACACGUGAGUAACCUGCCCUUGACUUUGGGAUAACUUCAGGAAACUGGGGCUAAUACCGGAUAGGAGCUCCUGCUGCAUUGUGGGGGUUGGAAAGUUUCGGCGGUUGGGGAUGGACUCGCGGCUUAUCAGCUUGUUGGUUGGGUAGUGGCUUACCAAGGCUUUGACGGGUAGCCGGCCUGAGAGGGUGACCGGCCACAUUGGGACUGAGAUACGGACCAGACUCCUACGGGAGGCAGCAGUGGGGAAUAUUGCACAAUGGGCGGAAGCCUGAUGCAGCAACGCCGCGUGCGGGAUGACGGCCUUCGGGUUGUAAACCGCUUUCGCCUGUGACGAAGCGUGAGUGACGGUAAUGGGUAAAGAAGCACCGGCUAACUACGUG